RNAcentral lists this ribosomal RNA (482 nucleotides) under uncultured bacterium. Its description in RNAcentral is "partial 16S ribosomal RNA". It matches the Rfam family "Bacterial small subunit ribosomal RNA", at positions 30 to 507 of the family's 1533-position model. The record is from RNAcentral.
AUUGAACGCUGGCGGCAUGCCUUACACAUGCAAGUCGAACGGUAACACGCCGCAAGGUGCUGUCGAGUGGUGGCCGGGUGAGUAAUGCUUACGAAUGUGCCCCGUCCUUGUUGGUCACUACUCGCAAGAGUAGCUCAUACCUCAUACGAUCUAUUGUUUCAAACGGGGUACCGCAAGACCUCGCGAGAUUUUUGCUGCCGCUGUUAGAUUAGUUAGUUGGUGGGGUAAAGGCUCACCAAGGCAACGCUCUGUAGCUGUUCUGAGAGGACGAGCAGCCACACUGGAACUGAGACACGGCCCAGACUCCUACGGGAGGCAGCAGUGGGGAAUUUUGGACAAUGGGCGAAAGCCUGAUCCAGCAAUGCCGCGUGAGGGAAGAAGGCCUUCGGGUUGUAAACUGCUUUUGUAAGGAAAGAAAAGGCGCUGGUUAAUACCCGGGGGUAAUGACGGUACCGAAAGAAUAAGCAACGGCUAACUACGUG